Cygnus atratus (black swan) is the source of this 4034-nucleotide long non-coding RNA. RefSeq lists it as uncharacterized. The record is from RefSeq and is a predicted model, not a curated record. NCBI's taxonomy places the organism in Eukaryota, Metazoa, Chordata, Aves, Anseriformes, Anatidae. The transcript has 3 exons.
UAGGUUUAACCUAGGCUUCUGCAGCAGCACAGACUGGGAGCACAGCAAAGCUGCUCGUGUUGAAGAGAAAGAAGUGCUGGGAGAGGCGCUCUGUGCCUCAGACUUUUAGGGUCUGGAUCAUGACCGCGUUUCUGCGCCCAGUCCGUGCUCCGGUAGCGGGGCGCUUCUGCAGCCUUGUCAGGAAGACGAGCUCCAACGUGCUGCCUGCAGCCAAAGGAAAACGCAGAGCAAAUCCCUGCCAGUGGAGCUGGCCUGGUCCUUUCUUCCUGCCCUCUGCCCUUCCCGUCUGAUGUGGUCUGCGCCCCCAGCCCACGGCUCGGGGGAUGGUUACGCCCCACCGUGCCCCUUCCUCCUGGCCCCGUGCAGAAGGGCUGCGCUCAGCCGCAGCUCCGACACCACGGGAGGGGUAAGCUGACACAUUUUGGGUUGUGCUCGCUGCAGGCUGACAGUGCACCCUUGCUCCCAGUGAUUCAGACUGCAGUUUCAGAACAGACUGGAGCCGGGUCUGAACGGCUCAGUCCCUACUCAUAUCUUAUCCUGGUCUCAUGCUUCCACGCGCUCCCCCACCUCAGGCCUUGCGCUUGUGCAGCCCGGCGGUGAGGCAGAGCAGCUCCCCCAGCCGCCGAGGGCUAGGCUGGCCAGCACUGACCCAGAAACACUCGUUUCCACCCAGCCCAGCAAGCUGCUGGAUUCCCACAGCACGGCCAGGCCAGAGCAAAGGAGAAAGAGGUUAGAAACACUCCUGUCAGCAGCAGCGUGAUCUUGAAUCAGCUCGAGCCAACUGCGAAACCUCACCCUCGGUCAACACGAAGCAAUUCAUUAACUCAGCCGCGUAUCCAAGCCCUAAUGCUCUGGCUCCUCGGCCACGCGGGGAAAGCCGCCUGCUCGGCUCCCCCCCGCGCGCUGGGGCUCAGGCUGGAGGGAUGAGGAACGAUCGCGUUUCCUUUCUGUAUCUUUUCCAGCCUGUUCUGGGAAGCUGUGGGAAGGAGCAGUCCCUGCCUUUCUUGCAUCGAUGUUGCCGUGCACUUGCAUGGGCACUGCGUGGGUCCUGAACAAGGGCAGCACGGCGUCCAGCCCUUCACAGGCCUUGAGAACUUCGAGGUAACCCAACGGUACCCACUGCAGGCUCUCCGUUGGGAAACAUCAAAACCAAAGCACACCACACGACGCUUCGCAUCAGCCGUCAGGAAUUUUUACCCACUUCCUGACAGAUUUCCUGAUGGUUCAUUAACAGUGAUUAAUCGGCCUGACCGUUAACCCCCUGCAUUCCUGAGAGAUUAAUCUCGAUGCAAGGCCUCCUGCAUACAUUUUCUUCCCUUUCUGAACCAUCCUACUACAUUUAGUUAUUUGCUGCUUCUAAAAAGAUCAGAGGCAAGCAUUACAGAUGCAUGAAUUCCCCUGGAAAGUUAUCUGGUUUGUGGUGAAGGCUGGAAAUAAAACAUACAACAUUCACAACUCCGCAAUUUUUAUAUGCCAUCUAAAAAGCACAGCUGAAAGUAGAGAUCUGGUAACAUCAGACAGUCCCACUCUGCAUGUUCAAAGCCCCUGUACAGCAGCUGUUUUGGAGGAAGGUAACACUGCUCUCACUUCACAUGACGGGAAACGAACUGAAGUCAAGAAGAAGAAUUUUAGGGACACCCACUUGGACACAUCUGCGGGCUGAACUCAGAGGUCCUGAUCAGCAUGGACUAUAAGAGGAGCCCCACGAUCUACCCAUCCUUUGAAAAUGAGGCACAGCCUGGGAACCCCAAAUGUGAGGCAUCCAAAACUAGUAAGUGGACCUCCUUUCUCCCCCGAGUUGCCCAAAGCUCUGCUAGGCUCUCAGUCAGGACCAGAACAGAGCAGCUCCUGCCUUGCUGCUUACAAGAAGAGCACUGCAAGGUGCCUGCGAGGUGAUGGCUUUCUCUCAGUGCACGCUGAUGAAACCUGGGAGAGAGGACGGGAGAGCUGCCUUGUGCCAGGGAAUUGUAUUCCGGUAUGUCACUCAGCACCGGGGAAGAAAGCUACUCUGUGUCACAAGCCAACUCCAGGAAGCCAACAAAGUAUUCACCCACAGGGAGCACUCUGUUUUCUGAAUCAUCAAAACAAUUCAGUGUGGUGAUGCUCGUAUAAACUCCUUUCAACUCCAGAUAGCAUUAAUGGGAGGUGACAAAGUUCUUUAUUACACAACGGAGUAAGCACACCGAACCAGGAUUCUCAGCUCUGCCUUGACAGCAAUGGCUCCGUGUUGCUGAACCUGUGAGAUUCCCAUCAACCAGACAAUUCACCACUACUCUGACUCCUACGCACCACAGCGAUUCGGGUAUUUUGGCAAGGACCAUUUCUAUUCAGGAUACACUUCUGUGUAAGUUUCCAGUUUAAGCUUCAGUUAGCUUUUGCCUUGGUGCCUGCUUCUUCCUUGGUCUCACAGCUGAGCUAUGAUCUGUGACCUCCUUUCAUUUGAACUGGAAGUUUGUACCUAACAGAGAAACUGAAAAACAGCAAAGGAAACCCUCCACGAAUGUUUUUUUUUUUUUCUUUUUCUCAAGUACAUAUAGGAAGCUUAUGACAUAUAAAACACAGUGCUGCGAAACUCUCCUUACACGUCAGCUCAAUCCAACUCUCCCCAGCGGCACUCUUGCAAAGAACAGCAGAUACAGCAAGACGUGUCAGCAACAGGGACACACGCAGACAUUGCUGCUGACGGGAAGGAGACGGCCUUUCGGCUGAACGUGCUACCGGAGCUGUCGAUACCUUUCCCAAAGUUUGAGCUGGGGUGGAAGCAGAGCCGUGCUGGAAGCUCAGCACUAAAUAUAGCAGCUCCUCAGGAUGAAGGCUGAUUCGUACCUCUCCAACUGGUUUGUCAAGCCUCAGCAACACGCGGCUACUCUCCUGCUCUAAUCACAAGCUCACUUACAUCACUUCCUUGAGAAGCACUUCACUCCCUUCAUUAUUCACACCACACUCGUGCCAACUCGUAAUUUCUUCCCAACAAAGCUCACGCUUAGGUGUUAAUUCACCGAUUUCAGUUAAUGAGCAGAUGAAACUAGAGCCCAAGCCCUGCCCAGACCACAUCACAUCACUCUGAUAGUACGCUGCAAAGACUGGCAGUGGGUUUCCCCACUGAGCUCCCCAGCUAGGAGAGAACCAGCCAAAUUGUCACCAGCUGUGUCACCCAGUGUCACGUCAGGGGCUGACGGGACCUCGGGACCCCACAAUCUAACAGCCAGGGCUAAUUUCCUUUGAAGAGAAGCACAGACAAGAAGUUACGGUUUUAUGAAGGGAAGCAGGUUUGCAUGCCACGGCCCAGCCAGUCCCUGUGUGCUUUUGUUCCCCAUCUACAAAACCGAGUCAAGGCAGAUGGACCCAACACAUGCAGUUCCUCUUGUCACCGGAUACCUAUACACACUUAGGCCACCGACCAAGUCUUCAAAAGCUCAAGUGUGUUUAGCAGGCCUGAAUCAGAAGCAGAAAAUUGCGAUGAGCCAAGCAACUCUCAUCUACACUUAACUGUGAGUCAACUCAAAUGUAGUGAUUUCAGUCAUGUGCCCUUUCACAGUUCAGCUGAACUUCAGAAAAUAAUAGAUGCAGCUUUAAAUAGAUUUACAGUGCAGAUUGCUGAUUUGAGUGUCUGGCAGAUUAAUUUAUUCCUCAUGGUUUUUCUGUUCCAGAAUUCAAUGGAUUCCAUAUUUGUAAACGAGGGAAUGCAGAGGACUAAGUCAGAAAGUGGGCUAUGACUGGAACCAGGCUUAUUUAUUAACCUAUUUUGGUUGCACGUUGAAGAAAGGAAGCUAUUAUGCUGUUGGUUUGUGGGAUGCUAAUGGGCACUCUGGGCAUAAUUACACUGUGUUGGUGCGUGAAUAAACCCCACUGAUAGAUAAGUUUUUCACCCGAAAGUAACUUUUUCUCUUUCCUUGAAAAGGGAAGAUAAAGAAAAAAGAAAGAGAAAGACAAAGGAAAAUGAAGAGGGAAAAGAUGAAAAAGAAAAAAGAAUGAGAAUAAAAAGAAAAAAGGAAGUAAAAAGAAAAAAAAAUAAGAAAAAGGGAAAAAGAAAA